ACAUGCAGUCGAGGGGCAGCGGGGAAAAGCUUGCUUUUCCGCCGGCGACCGGCGCACGGGUGCGCACCGCGUAUGGAACCUACCUUUUACAGGGGAAUAGCCCAGGGAAACUUGGAUUAAUGCCCCGUGGCACCAUUUUCUGGCAUCAGGAUAUGGUUAAAGCCUUCGGGCGGUAGAAGAUGGCCAUGCGUCCCAUUAGCUUGAUGGUAAGGUAACGGCUUACCAUGGCUACGAUGGGUAGGGGCCCUGAGAGGGGGAUCCCCCACACUGGUACUGAGACACGGACCAGACUCCUACGGGAGGCAGCAGUGAGGAAUAUUGGACAAUGGAGGAGACUCUGAUCCAGCCAUGCCGCGUGCAGGAAGAAUGCCCUAUGGGUAGUAAACUGCUUUUAUACGGGAAGAAAAAGGGCUACGUGUAGCCUGUUGACGGUACCGUAAGAAUAAGGACCGGCUAACUCCGUGCCAGCAGCCGCGGUAAUACGGAGGGUCCGAGCGUUAUCCGGAAUUAUUGGGUUUAAAGGGUCCGUAGGCGGGCCGGUAAGUCAGUGGUGAAAGUCUGUAGCUCAACUAUAGAAUUGCCUUUGAUACUGCUGGUCUUGAGUUAUGGUGAAGUUGCCGGAAUAUGUGGUGUAGCGGUGAAAUGCAUAGAUAUCACAUAGAACACCGAUUGCGAAGGCAGGUGACUAACCAUAUACUGACGCUGAUGGACGAAA
Molecule: ribosomal RNA, 715 nt
Filed under: uncultured Maribacter sp.
Lineage: Bacteria; Pseudomonadati; Bacteroidota; Flavobacteriia; Flavobacteriales; Flavobacteriaceae
Description: bacterial SSU rRNA
Rfam family: Bacterial small subunit ribosomal RNA
Source: RNAcentral